CGGGGCGUAGCGCAGCUUGGUUAGCGCGCUUGACUGGGGGUCAAGAGGUCGAGAGUUCAAAUCUCUCCGCCCCGA
Molecule: transfer RNA, 75 nt
Filed under: Phycisphaeraceae bacterium
Lineage: Bacteria; Pseudomonadati; Planctomycetota; Phycisphaerae; Phycisphaerales; Phycisphaeraceae
Description: tRNA-Pro
Rfam family: tRNA
About the family: Transfer RNA (tRNA) molecules are approximately 80 nucleotides in length. Their secondary structure includes four short double-helical elements and three loops (D, anti-codon, and T loops).
Source: RNAcentral